Molecule: long non-coding RNA, 1022 nt
Filed under: Equus asinus (donkey)
Lineage: Eukaryota; Metazoa; Chordata; Mammalia; Perissodactyla; Equidae
Description: lncRNA (ENSEASG00005031525.1)
Source: RNAcentral
GAGCGGCCGCCGGUGACCAUAGAGAUGACGCGGCCUCCCCUGCCCACAGGCGGCUCUCCGUCGUGGGGCCGAGAGUUAGUGAAGGUGGCGUCCGUGGGGCUCGGGCUCUGCGGGCCGUGUCUAUGUGACAGCUCUCCCGGUGGCUACUGGUGGUGUUCCCGAGGGUGGGUCCUGCCGCGGCGGACGCGGGCUGCGCGCCGCUCGGACCGCGGGGCACGCAGCUGUCGAGCCCUCGAGACGUCCCGGCCGGGCGUCCUGGGGGACCCUGGAGCUCCUCCGCGGGACUCGGGGCGUGUGGUUUCCCUGCCCCGGGCAGCCUGGGAUCCCCUCACCGCCUCUCCCGGGCUCUGGUUGCCCUGAGCCCCUCCCUGGCCUGUAACGGGGUCUCAAUACCGACUCAGAGGAAGAGGAAGAAUUCCUGAAGGAUGAGUGGCCUGCCCAAGGCCCCUCCAGCUCCAAGCUGACAUCUUCCAUCCUGUGUGGCCUGGUGGCCAAGAGCAGCAAGCCGGCGGGGGGCCCCAAGCUGAGCAAGAGGGGCCUGGCGGCCGCCCGGACUCUGAAAGCCAAGCCGGCUGCCGGCAGGAAGCAGCCGUUUGGCUUGCUGCUUCCCGAGCUCGAGGCCCGCUCCUCCUUCAGCGAUUCUUCGGAGGACUCGUUUGACCAAGGUUACUAGCUCCAAACACAAAAUACCUUCCGUGUUUUAUAGCGCGAGAGUGAGUGCGAGCGAGAGAGCGAGAGCGAGCGAGAGCACAGAGAGAUGGCCGUGCUGCGGUGGCCCUCGGGGUGGCCUCGGCCGCGCCAUCUCGGUUCUUGGCAGCGUAGCCUGCUAUCGGCCUAAGGCUUUUUAUCCUUGUUGAUCUGUACCUGUAUCAUUGUGAUAAUAUCACCGGCUAGCUCUUUUUGAGCUUUUAUACGGACUGUUUUAGUCUCCACUUUCCUCCACUCUGCCCUCCGCCCCACCCCACGUCUCGCCCCUCUGCCCUGGACCGCAGGCCUGGGCCGGGUGCCCUCGGCAGGGCCUC